Molecule: unclassified non-coding RNA, 343 nt
Filed under: soil metagenome
Description: partial contains 5.8S ribosomal RNA, internal transcribed spacer 2, and large subunit ribosomal RNA
Rfam family: 5.8S ribosomal RNA (bases 1-120)
Source: RNAcentral
GAUGAAGAACGUAGCGAAAUGCGAUAAGUAAUGUGAAUUGCAGAAUUCAGUGAAUCAUCGAAUCUUUGAACGCACAUUGCGCCCGCUAGUAUUCUGGCGGGCAUGCCUGUCCGAGCGUCAUUUCAACCCUCAAGCCCCCGGGCUUGGUGUUGGGGAUCGGCGAGCCUCCGCGCCCGCCGUCCCCUAAAUCUAGUGGCGGUCUCGCUGUAGCUUCCUCUGCGUAGUAGCACACCUCGCACUGGGAAACAGCGCGGCCACGCCGUUAAACCCCCAACUUCUGAACGUUUGACCUCGGAUCAGGUAGGAAUACCCGCUGAACUUCAGCAUAUCAAUAAGCGGAGGA